GAUAGCUCAGCAGGUAGAGCAAUCGGCUGUUAACCGAUCGGUCGUAGGUUCGAGUCCUACUC
Molecule: transfer RNA, 62 nt
Filed under: human gut metagenome
Also listed under: 1 other name
Rfam family: tRNA
About the family: Transfer RNA (tRNA) molecules are approximately 80 nucleotides in length.
Source: RNAcentral